UACGUAGGGGGCAAGCGUUGUCCGGAUUUACUGGGCGUAAAGAGCGCGUAGGCGGAACGUUAAGUCCGGUUUGAAAGCCCCCGGCUCAACCGGGGAGAGUGGCUGGAAACUGGCGUUCUUGAGGGCGAUAGAGGAGUGUGGAAUUCCUGGUGUAGCGGUGAAAUGUGUUGAUAUCAGGAGGAACACCCAUGGCGAAGGCAGCAAACUGGGCAUCAACUGACGCUGAGGCGCGAAAGCGUGGGUAGCAAACAGG
Molecule: ribosomal RNA, 253 nt
Filed under: uncultured bacterium
Lineage: Bacteria
Description: partial 16S ribosomal RNA
Rfam family: Bacterial small subunit ribosomal RNA
Source: RNAcentral